CAGUAGCCGCGGGAAUACAGAGGAUGCAAGCGUUAUUCGGAAUGAUUGGGCGUAAAGGGUGCGUAGGCGGUUUGAUAAGUCUUGUGUGAAAUCUAUGGGCUCAACCCAUAGUCUGCGUAGGAAACUGUCGGGCUUGAGAGUGGGAGAGGUGAGUGGAAUUUCCGGUGUAGCGGUGAAAUGCGUAGAUAUCGGAAGGAACACCUGUGGCGAAAGCGGCUCACUGGACCAUUUCUGACGCUGAUGCACGAAAGCUAGGGGAGCAAACAGGAUUAGAUACCCGGGUAGUCCCUGUCUCUUAUAC
This 301-nucleotide ribosomal RNA is filed under the name uncultured bacterium. RNAcentral describes it as "partial 16S ribosomal RNA". It matches the Rfam family "Bacterial small subunit ribosomal RNA", at positions 509 to 807 of the family's 1533-position model. The record is from RNAcentral.